This 885-nucleotide ribosomal RNA is filed under the name Triticum aestivum (bread wheat). Its description in RNAcentral is "partial small subunit ribosomal RNA". Lineage: Eukaryota; Viridiplantae; Streptophyta; Magnoliopsida; Poales; Poaceae. The record is from RNAcentral.
AUGGGCAACUAUCUGACAAGCACAGGAGCCAAACCAGAGGAACAUGUCCAUGUUAAACCAGCGACCAGAUCCACCAAUGGCAAGGGUAGGCCAAACAUCAAACUUGAAGACCUUCCAGAGGAUGUCUUAUGCUCAAUUUUAUCAAAACUGCCUGCAAAAGAGGUUAUUCGGACCAGCGUCUUGGCGAGCAAGUGGAGGUCUAUGUGGACAGCUUGCCCCAGACUAAGUUUCGACGGUGCCCAUACCCAUAGGGUGAAGCAACAUGCCCAGGUAUUCGUCGACCGUGUUAACGCGGUUUUACGGAAGCACCGUGGCAAGUUUGCCGAUGAUCUCGAGGUUAAAUUUAUGUUUGAGAGCAAGCUAGUUCAUCACCUCGACGAUUGGAUUAGGUUUGCUAUAUCGUCCCGGACAAAGACGCUAGCUUUUAAUUUGGCACCCUUAUCCAAUCUCCUGAGACAUGGCUAUCAUUACACGUUCCCAUUCGAUCUCCUGGACAAGGAAAGCUUAUCCUGCCUACAGUGUCUGCAACUGAGCUUUGUAUGCUUCAAACCUCCUUCCCACUUCGUAGGUCUUCCAAACCUAAGAAAGCUCGAUCUCUAUUUACUGAAAGGCACCACCAGGCAGGAUCUCGAGAAUAUCUUGGGCAGCUGCUGUAGACUCGAAUGGCUGAGCCUAGUCAGAUGCCACCUGAACGAUGAGCUGAGGGUCGUUCAGCCGUUGUCGCACUUGCACUACUUGAAGGUUGUUUACUCCUCCACGGGCCCCUCUCCGUGGUGCAGUUUUUCGGCAUGCUGCCGGGUCACUCCUCCACGGGCUUCCAGAUGUACCAAACCUGACACUAGAUGUCCUAAUUCUACACCUAGAGACCCGAUGGGUGUUAAAUAG